This 494-nucleotide ribosomal RNA is filed under the name uncultured bacterium. RNAcentral's name for it is "bacterial SSU rRNA". It matches the Rfam family "Bacterial small subunit ribosomal RNA", at positions 355 to 861 of the family's 1533-position model. The record is from RNAcentral.
UGGGGAAUCUUGCACAAUGGGCGAAAAGCCUGAUGCAGCAACGCCGCGUGCGGGAAGACAGCCCUAGGGUUGUAAACCGCUUUCAGCAGGGAAGAAACUGACGGUACCUGCAGAAGAAGAUGCGGCCAACUACGUGCCAGCAGCCGCGGUGACACGUAGGCAUCAAGCGUUAUCCGGAUUUAUUGGGCGUAAAGAGCUCGUAGGCGGUUCGGUAAGUCGGGUGUGAAAACUCUGGGCUCAACCCAGAGAGGCCACUCGAUACUGCUGUGACUAGAGUGCGGUAGGGGAGCGGGGAAUUCCUGGUGUAGCGGUGAAAUGCGCAGAUAUCAGGAGGAACACCAGUGGCGAAGGCGCCGCUCUGGGCCGUAACUGACGCUGAGGAGCGAAAGCAUGGGUAGCAAACAGGAUUAGAUACCCUGGUAGUCCAUGCCGUAAACGUUGGGCACUAGGUGUGGGUCUCAACCGAACGAGAUCCGCGCCGUCGCUAACGCAUU